UACAGAGACUGCAAGCGUUAUUCGGAUUCACUGGGCGUAAAGGGUGCGAAGGUGGCCAAGUGUGUUAGGCGUGAAAGCCCGGGGCUUAACCCCGGAAUUGCACCUAAAACUACUUGGCUAGAGCAUUGGAGAGGGGAGCAGAAUUCAUGGUGUAGCAGUGAAAUGCGUAGAUAUCAUGAGGAAUACCAGAGGCGAAGGCGGCUCCCUGGACAAUUGCUGACACUCAGGCACGAAAGCGUGGGGAGCAAAAGGG
This 253-nucleotide ribosomal RNA is filed under the name uncultured bacterium. RNAcentral describes it as "partial 16S ribosomal RNA". It matches the Rfam family "Bacterial small subunit ribosomal RNA", at positions 524 to 776 of the family's 1533-position model. The record is from RNAcentral.